CAAAUGAUUAAUAUUAAACCAAACAUUGUUCAUUUAACAGAUAACUGAAAAACGUAUUAUUGGUUAAAGGCUCUGUUUGGGAGCAGUGUUUUAGAACAGAACAUGUAAUAAAAUGGGAGGAAACCCAAGUGGCAUCAUAGAGCAUUAGGCUGAGGCUGAGGCUGGUAACAACUGCAGUCAGUCAGCUAGGCAAGGCUGUUAGAAUUUACAAAGAGAUGAGAACAGAAGGGAACGAUGCACAAAGUUUGCCCAGUAGUUUUGAAUGUGGAAGGGGUAAUCUAAGACCCGAAACAUUUCAUGGAAUGUGCCAGUUUCAGAUGAGGGAAAAUUUAAACCUUCAUUACCCAAGACUAUAGAUAAGGAAUCACAAGCAAAUAAACACUGAGGCUACAGUCCAGCCAGAAAGAAAAGGUGAAGAGUCACUCUUUUUACUUCUGAAAUGCAAACAAGUUCAGUUAUUCUACUCUUGGAGUAUGUUUCUAAUGAUCACUUCUGGUUGGACUCUAGAAUGAAUCUCUGGA
This 521-nucleotide long non-coding RNA is filed under the name Cairina moschata (Muscovy duck). RNAcentral describes it as "domestica (muscovy Duck (domestic type)) lncRNA (ENSCMMG00000011501.1)". Lineage: Eukaryota; Metazoa; Chordata; Aves; Anseriformes; Anatidae. The record is from RNAcentral.